RNAcentral lists this ribosomal RNA (1375 nucleotides) under uncultured bacterium. Its description in RNAcentral is "bacterial SSU rRNA". It matches the Rfam family "Bacterial small subunit ribosomal RNA", at positions 29 to 1395 of the family's 1533-position model. The record is from RNAcentral.
UUGAACGCUGGCGGUAUGCUUAACACAUGCAAGUCGAACGGAAACGAUACUAGCUUGCUAGUAGGCGUCGAGUGGCGGACGGGUGAGUAACGCGUAGGAAUCUGCCUGAUAGUGGGGGAUAGCCCGAAGAAAUUCGGAUUAAUACCGCAUAAUCUAUUCGUAGUAAAGUGGGGGACUUUCGAGCCUCACGCUAUCAGAUGAGCCUGCGUAAGAUUAGCUUGUUGGUAGGGUAAAAGCCUACCAAGGCGACGAUCUUUAGCUGGUCUGAGAGGAUGAUCAGCCACAUCGGGACUGAGACACGGCCCGAACUCCUACGGGAGGCAGCAGUGGGGAAUAUUGGACAAUGGGGGCAACCCUGAUCCAGCAAUACCGCGUGUGUGAAGAAGGCCUGAGGGUUGUAAAGCACUUUCAAUUGUGAAGAAAAGUUAGCGGUUAAUAACCGUUAGCCUUGACGUUAACUUUAGAAGAAGCACCGGCUAACUCCGUGCCAGCAGCCGCGGUAAUACGGAGGGUGCAAGCGUUAAUCGGAAUUACUGGGCGUAAAGCGUGCGUAGGCGGUUUAUUAAGUCAGAUGUGAAAGCCCCGGGCUUAACCUGGGAACUGCAUUUGAAACUGGUCAACUAGAGUAUGGUAGAGGAAAGUGGAAUUUCUGGUGUAGCGGUGAAAUGCGUAGAUAUCAGAAGGAACAUCAAUGGCGAAGGCAGCUUUCUGGACCAAUACUGACGCUGAGGUACGAAAGCGUGGGUAGCAAACAGGAUUAGAUACCCUGGUAGUCCACGCCGUAAACGAUGAUAACUAGCCGUUGGGGGGAUUUACCCUUUAGUGGCGAAGCUAACGCGUUAAGUUAUCCGCCUGGGGAGUACGGCCGCAAGGUUAAAACUCAAAGGAAUUGACGGGGACCCGCACAAGCGGUGGAGCAUGUGGUUUAAUUCGAUGCAACGCGAAGAACCUUACCUGGUCUUGACAUCCUGCGAACUUUCUAGAAAUAGAUUGGUGCCUUCGGGAACGCAGUGACAGGUGCUGCAUGGCUGUCGUCAGCUCGUGUCGUGAGAUGUUGGGUUAAGUCCCGUAACGAGCGCAACCCCUAUCCUUAUUUGCCAGCACAUCAUGGUGGGAACUAUAAGGAGACUGCCGGUGAUAAACCGGAGGAAGGCGGGGACGACGUCAAGUCAUCAUGGCCCUUACGACCAGGGCUACACACGUGCUACAAUGGGAAGGACAAAGAGCCGCGAAGCCGCGAGGUGUAGCUAAUCUCAUAAACCUUUUCGUAGUCCGGAUUGGAGUCUGCAACUCGACUCCAUGAAGUCGGAAUCGCUAGUAAUCGUAGAUCAGAAUGCUACGGUGAAUACGUUCCCGGGUCUUGUACUCACCGCCC